RNAcentral lists this ribosomal RNA (442 nucleotides) under uncultured bacterium. RNAcentral's name for it is "partial 16S ribosomal RNA". It matches the Rfam family "Bacterial small subunit ribosomal RNA", at positions 338 to 795 of the family's 1533-position model. The record is from RNAcentral.
CCUACGGGCGGCAGCAGUGGGGAAUAUUGGGCAAUGGACGCAAGUCUGACCCAGCAAUGCCGCGUGAAGGAAGAAGGCUUUCGGGUUGUAAACUUCUUUUAAGGGGGAAGAGCAGAAGACGGUACCCCUUGAAUAAGCCACGGCUAACUACGUGCCAGCAGCCGCGGUAAUACGUAGGUGGCAAGCGUUGUCCGGAUUUACUGGGUGUAAAGGGCGUGCAGCCGGUGAGACAAGUCAGAUGUGAAAUCCGCGGGCUCAACCCGCGAACUGCAUUUGAAACUGUUUCCCUUGAGUAUCGGAGAGGUCAUCGGAAUUCCUAGUGUAGCGGUGAAAUGCGUAGAUAUUAGGAAGAACACCAGUGGCGAAGGCGGACUACUGGACGACAACUGACGGUGAGGCGCGAAAGCGUGGGGAGCAAACAGGAUUAGAUACCCCUGUAGUC